UACGUAGGGGGCAAGCGUUGUCCGGAUUUAUUGGGCGUAAAGAGCUUGUAGGCGGUUCCGUAAGUCGGGUGUGAAAAAUCUGGGCUCAACCCAGUGGAGCACCCGAUACUGCGGUGACUCGAGUCCGGUAGGGGAGUGUGGAAUUCCUGGUGUAGCGGUGAAAUGCGCAGAUAUCAGGAGGAACACCGACGGCGAAGGCAGCACUCUGGGCCGGUACUGACGCUGAGGAGCGAAAGCAUGGGGAGCGAACAGG
This 253-nucleotide ribosomal RNA is filed under the name uncultured bacterium. RNAcentral describes it as "partial 16S ribosomal RNA". It matches the Rfam family "Bacterial small subunit ribosomal RNA", at positions 524 to 776 of the family's 1533-position model. The record is from RNAcentral.